Molecule: unclassified non-coding RNA, 197 nt
Filed under: Mycobacterium simiae
Lineage: Bacteria; Bacillati; Actinomycetota; Actinomycetes; Mycobacteriales; Mycobacteriaceae
Description: partial contains 16S-23S ribosomal RNA intergenic spacer and 23S ribosomal RNA
Source: RNAcentral
AAGCCCAUUUGGUGGGGUGUGAGCCGUGAGGGGUUCUCGUCUGUAGUGGACGAGGGCCGGGUGCACAACAACAGGCAAUCGCCAGACACACUAUUGGGCCCUGAGACAACACUCGGCCGACUUCGGUUGAAGUGGUGUCCCUCCAUCUUGGUGGUGGGGUGUGGUGUUUGAGUAUUGAAUAGUGGUUGCGAGCAUCA